UGCCGGCUUCCCCUAGCGUGUGGGGCCCGGGGGCAGUUUCGUGGUCUUGCCCAGAAAUGUUUUUGAGGCUGUGAAAUAUCCCUUCACAGGGUGGUCGUGAAGAAUAAAGGCAGAAGCCCCGACAUCUAUCAUUCCAGCAGCUGAACCUGCCCAAAGCAUGUCCCAGUCUCCACUUCGGGUCCAACUCCUGCCCUCCCAGAACCAACAAGCCUCCAACUCCAUUGAGGGGUAAGCCUGGACCCCAAAUCUAGAGGGACAACGGUGCUCCCAAGGCCGCUCCACCUGAAGCGGCAAGUCUCAUUGACUAUCAUAUCAGUGCCCUAAACUUCCUGGUCUGCUGCUCGCCCCCUCCUCCUCCCCCAAAGGCCCUGGGCAGGAUGACUGUUUGACAGCUGGACCACAGGUACAGCCCUCGCUGAGCAGCCUGUGGGCAGAAACCAUCACUGCAAGGCCAGCAAAAGAAACCAGACACUUCAAGGCCAUCCCUACAGGUGGCACCUCCCCUAGGCUGAAAGAAACCCAAACUACAAAGUCUGAGAGGCUCUUAGGGUUUAGCAGAGUCUGGGGUGAGCAGCAGGUCGAAAUAGAAGGAAUAUCUGUGGAGCUGCCAGUGAAGAGAAAGGCUGGACACCAGUCUCGGGUGGGGGCUGCUGCAUGGAACCCAGCAUCCGGGAUCCCAGAAAAAAAGGUGCCCAGAACAAGAGGCUCGGGUCUUGGGCAAAGCAGGGGGUGUCAGAAGCAACUGCAACUGCUGCUUCCAGGGGGUGCAGACAAAGGCCUGUGGGGUCAAAGGGAGAGUCAUCUAAGAAGAGCAGGAUGCCUCCGUGUGGCAGCAGGCCUGCUUUAGGGACUGUGCCUGCCUGCAAGGCACAGCAAAGUGUCGCUGGUCUCCCCUGGAAAUGGGCCCCUACCUGAGUCACUUCAUAGAGGAAGCAAAGACAGACUCCUCCGGGAUUAAUCAGGAAUCUCCAGCCCUUAGGGAGGCUGUCUGGUUCCUAUCUAGCCUAAGGCUACCUUAGUGCCAGCCUUUCUUAAGUCAGCUGUGUUUUCAGUUCCUUGAAUCAUUCUUCCAACAAAUGCCUGCCCUUUGUUGUCUGCAACAGAAGAAAUGCAAUACGGCUACUAAGGGAAUGCUGCUGCUGCCCUGCUGCUGAAGAGACUAAGCUCAUGCAGCAUGGGGGCAGAGGGCAAGGAGUACCUUCAUCCUAUUUUCACAGGCUCCAACCAACAAAAAACCUGAGGAUCCCCAUACUUAGCAGAGUUGCCACUGAAUAAUAGCUAUGUAACCUGGUUGCCUAACUAAUCGACUUCCUGUAAAACGCACAGAGGCACCUGGACACCACCCAGACCAGCAAGUUCUGAAAGUGUAUGUCUCUGCCACCAUUCACCCCACAGAUGGUUAUUCAAUACCCGUUCACAGCCAGGCAUUGUACUAAGAACUGGAGACCCAGCACUGAGCCAAAGACACCCCGGGAUUAGAAUCAGAUUGGGCUUCCCUAAAAGGAACACACACACUAAGGAAGUGUCUUUAGGACAGCUAGUAGGAAAGAAGCCCCAAAUAGGAAUCAUUAAAUAAAUAAGUAUACCAAAAUCUAGCUGAGUACUUUUUAUAAAAAAGAGUCCCCUAUUGGAAAAUGUACAACAUACUUGUUACUUUCUUACAUUUAUUUCCUCACUGUACUGUGCUUUUGUUUUAAUCAUCGGUGGUGGGAGCCACCAUAAUAUUUAGAUGUACAGAGCUUGUAUAAUCUGGAGUGAGACCUGAACAGAUGUUACCAUCUCGGCCUCACAAAGACCUGGGAAACACUGACAGGAGACCUCCAGGCAGACAGCUCUGUCUCACAGUUCGUGCGCCUAGGAGUCAAAUACUGUUCUCACCACAAGGUGGCAAAAGACACCCAUGUGUACCUGAUGCCUGUGGAGGUCAGAAGAGGGCUAGAACUGGAGUUCUAGGUAACCACCAAGCUCAGCAAAUGGGUCAUAAGAGAUCUCCAAAAGAGCCUUCAUCCAGUAACUAAUGGAAGCAGAAGCAGAUAACCACAGC
Mesocricetus auratus (golden hamster) is the source of this 2044-nucleotide long non-coding RNA. RefSeq lists it as uncharacterized. The transcript is spliced from 3 exons. Lineage: Eukaryota; Metazoa; Chordata; Mammalia; Rodentia; Cricetidae. The record is from RefSeq and is a predicted model, not a curated record.